Long non-coding RNA from Struthio camelus australis, 386 nucleotides. RefSeq lists it as uncharacterized. Lineage: Eukaryota; Metazoa; Chordata; Aves; Struthioniformes; Struthionidae. The record is from RefSeq and is a predicted model, not a curated record.
GUGUAUUUCAGCAUUACAGUCUCUUACUAGAUGUGGACUUCACAAAGUGUAUUAAAUACAAACUAAAGAGAAGAAAAAAUCUGAGGAGAGAGGACAAGCUUGCACCAAAAUGUUUGGGCCCAGACUGGGCCAAAAUGAGACGUAGAUUUGAAAGAGCCCAUGGUGAAUAUUCGUAGGCCUGAACUCAAGAAACAAAAGGCUGGAUCUGAACUUUUGAAGACCAGCUGGUACAGCAUGACAUCAAUGAGUUUGGAGUGUCCAGCUCCUUCCUGCGUGCUGCGUUCUCUUUCCAGCUCCAUUAGCCUUCCAAUGCUGUUGAACAAGUCACAGCUUCAGUGGGAGAACUAAAUAUGAAGUCUGAAUCACAGCCUUCUGGUCUGGGCACU